CUCUGUACUAUCAGCAGAUAGAUUGGGGACCGUGAAAGAAGGGGAGGAUCGGAGAAGACAGGAUCAAACAGGCUUUUUACACAAUAUGGAGGAUUAACACCUUGGGUUCCACAGUGAGUAUAACAAGCAUGCUUUAAUGCACUGUUGUAGGUUUAGUAACACUUAAAAUUGCGCAUAUAUAUAAUAAUAAUGAUAUAUAGGUGUAAACAAACCUCAGACGUGAAAUAUAAAGAAAGCAUAUCCCCCUCUAUAGUGUACUUGCCUCAAUUAGGAGCACUAAACAAAGGAUUUCUGCUGGCAGAACACAAAAGCACUGCGGGAAGGAUUCCUCCAACAACUGUGUUGAUGGGGAAAUCGAGAAUUUUUUUUCCCUAAGAAUAAUGCAUUAUCUAUGAGCUGCCUUAUUGUAAAAGAAAUUUAUCGGUACAGUAUAUAUAGCUGGCAAAAAUAGCCAAAUCUGGUUGUCAGUCUCUUAAUACAUUGUAGAGCAGCAUGCAGAGAGGAGGUGGCUGCCUUGUAAACCAAGUCUCUUGCAUUGCAUGGCAUUGUCCUUAUAAGACAGAGAGCUUCCUGCAGGGGGUAGAGGGCAGAGUGAUGACCUCAUCAGCAUGCUUCUGCUCUUUGCUUUCCAUUCACAGACUGGUCCGGGUCUGAGAAUUGGCGCAACUGUAACGCAGCCUGUAGGGGUCUCAAGGUCACACAGCCUGUAGGGGGCCUCAAGGUCACACAGCCUGUAGGGGGCUCAAGGUCACACAGCCUGUAGGGGGCCUCAAGGUCACACAGCCUGUAGGGGGCCUCAAGGUCACACAGCCUGUAGGGGGCCUCAAGGUCACACAGCCUGUAGGGGGCCUCAAGGUCACACAGCCUGUAGGGGGCCUCAAGGUCACACAGCCUGUAGGGGGCCUCAAGGUCACACAGCCUGUAGGGGGCUCAAGGUCACACAGCCUGUAGGGGGCCUCAAGGUCACACAGCCUGUAGGGGGCCUCAAGGUCACACAGCCUUUCUGUGCUGUCUGGCAGGGGGGCCCGGAUUACAAAAACUAGCUUCACAGAAUAAAACAUGGUUCCGCAAGUAGAACAGCCGUAGUACUGCAGUAUCUCCAUCGUCUGUCCCCUCUUUCUCUCCAUCCUCAUCUCAUGAUAUCAAUGUCUGACCCAUCCUGUGUCUCAUUAAUGUGGAUUCUGUCCUGUGUUUCUCUCUGUAAUCUCAAUAAAAUCUUCUGCUUACA
Rana temporaria (common frog) is the source of this 1228-nucleotide long non-coding RNA. RefSeq lists it as uncharacterized. NCBI's taxonomy places the organism in Eukaryota, Metazoa, Chordata, Amphibia, Anura, Ranidae. The record is from RefSeq and is a predicted model, not a curated record. The transcript is spliced from 2 exons.